RNAcentral lists this ribosomal RNA (2353 nucleotides) under Streptococcus pneumoniae. RNAcentral's name for it is "bacterial LSU rRNA". It matches the Rfam family "Bacterial large subunit ribosomal RNA", at positions 566 to 2925 of the family's 2925-position model. Lineage: Bacteria; Bacillati; Bacillota; Bacilli; Lactobacillales; Streptococcaceae. The record is from RNAcentral.
AAGUAGCUGCAGGAAGAGAAAGCAAAAGCGAUUGCCUUAGUAGCGGCGAGCGAAACGGCAGAAGGGCAAACCGAAUGAUGCGAGGUUAAGUUGAAGAGACGGAGCCGUAGGGAAACCGAGUCUGAAUAGGGCGCCUUAGUAUCAUGACGUAGACCCGAAACCAUGUGACCUACCCAUGAGCAGGUUGAAGGUGCGGUAAGACGCACUGGAGGACCGAACCAGGGCACGUUGAAAAGUGCUUGGAUGACUUGUGGGUAGCGGAGAAAUUCCAAACGAACUUGGAGAUAGCUGGUUCUCUCCGAAAUAGCUUUAGGGCUAGCGUCGACAUUAGAGAUUCUUGGAGGUAGAGCACUGUUUGGGUGAGGGGUCCAUCCCGGAUUACCAAUCUCAGAUAAACUCCGAAUGCCAAUGAAUUAUGGUCGGCAGUCAGACUGCGAGUGCUAAGAUCCGUAGUCGAAAGGGAAACAGCCCAGACCACCAGCUAAGGUCCCAAAAUAAUUGUUAAGUGGAAAAGGAUGUGGGGUUGCACAGACAACUAGGAUGUUAGCUUAGAAGCAGCUAUUCAUUCAAAGAGUGCGUAAUAGCUCACUAGUCGAGUGACCCUGCGCCGAAAAUGUACCGGGGCUAAAACAAUUUACCGAAGCUGUGGAUACCUUUAUAGGUAUGGUAGGAGAGCGUUCUAUGUGUGAUGAAGGUAUACCGUGAGGAGUGCUGGAACGCAUAGAAGUGAGAAUGCCGGUAUGAGUAGCGAAAGACAGGUGAGAAUCCUGUCCACCGUAAGACUAAGGUUUCCAGGGGAAGGCUCGUCCGCCCUGGGUUAGUCGGGACCUAAGGAGAGACCGAAAGGUGUAUCCGAUGGACAACAGGUUGAUAUUCCUGUACUAGAGUAUGUAGUGAUGGAGGGACGCAGUAGGCUAACUAAAGCAGACGAUUGGAAGAGUCUGUCUAAGCAGUGAGGUGUGAAUUGAGUCAAAUGCUUAAUUCUAUAACAUUGAGCUGUGAUGGGGAGCGAAGUUUAGUAGCGAAGUUAGUGACGUCACACUGCCAAGAAAAGCUUCUAGCGUUUAAACAUACUCUACCCGUACCGCAAACCGACACAGGUAGUCGAGGCGAGUAGCCUCAGGUGAGCGAGAGAACUCUCGUUAAGGAACUCGGCAAAAUGACCCCGUAACUUCGGGAGAAGGGGUGCUGACUUAAAGUCAGCCGCAGUGAAUAGGCCCAAGCAACUGUUUAUCAAAAACACAGCUCUCUGCUAAAUCGUAAGAUGAUGUAUAGGGGGUGACGCCUGCCCGGUGCUGGAAGGUUAAGAGGAGUGCUUAGCGUAAGCGAAGGUAUGAAUUGAAGCCCCAGUAAACGGCGGCCGUAACUAUAACGGUCCUAAGGUAGCGAAAUUCCUUGUCGGGUAAGUUCCGACCCGCACGAAAGGCGUAAUGAUUUGGGCACUGUCUCAACGAGAGACUCGGUGAAAUUUUAGUACCUGUGAAGAUGCAGGUUACCCGCGACAGGACGGAAAGACCCCAUGGAGCUUUACUGCAGUUUGAUAUUGAGUGUCUGUACCACAUGUACAGGAUAGGUAGGAGUCUAAGAGAUCGGGACGCCAGUUUCGAAGGAGACGCUGUUGGGAUACUACCCUUGUGUUAUGGCCACUCUAACCCAGAUAGGUGAUCCCUAUCGGAGACAGUGUCUGACGGGCAGUUUGACUGGGGCGGUCGCCUCCUAAAAGGUAACGGAGGCGCCCAAAGGUUCCCUCAGAAUGGUUGGAAAUCAUUCGCAGAGUGUAAAGGUAUAAGGGAGCUUGACUGCGAGAGCUACAACUCGAGCAGGGACGAAAGUCGGGCUUAGUGAUCCGGUGGUUCCGUAUGGAAGGGCCAUCGCUCAACGGAUAAAAGCUACCCUGGGGAUAACAGGCUUAUCUCCCCCAAGAGUUCACAUCGACGGGGAGGUUUGGCACCUCGAUGUCGGCUCGUCGCAUCCUGGGGCUGUAGUCGGUCCCAAGGGUUGGGCUGUUCGCCCAUUAAAGCGGCACGCGAGCUGGGUUCAGAACGUCGUGAGACAGUUCGGUCCCUAUCCGUCGCGGGCGUAGGAAAUUUGAGAGGAUCUGCUCCUAGUACGAGAGGACCAGAGUGGACUUACCGCUGGUGUACCAGUUGUCUUGCCAAAGGCAUCGCUGGGUAGCUAUGUAGGGAAGGGAUAAACGCUGAAAGCAUCUAAGUGUGAAACCCACCUCAAGAUGAGAUUUCCCAUGAUUAUAUAUCAGUAAGAGCCCUGAGAGAUGAUCAGGUAGAUAGGUUAGAAGUGGAAGUGUGGCGACACAUGUAGCGGACUAAUACUAAUAGCUCGAGGACUUAUCCAA